This is a non-coding RNA of Parelaphostrongylus tenuis, 72 nucleotides long. The record is from the annotation of a GenBank genome assembly. NCBI's taxonomy places the organism in Eukaryota, Metazoa, Nematoda, Chromadorea, Rhabditida, Metastrongylidae.
GCGUCUGUAGUGCAACGGUUCAGCACGCCCUCCCGGAAAGAAGGAGAUCGGGUUUAAAUCCCACCUGACUCA